This 544-nucleotide ribosomal RNA is filed under the name Agaricomycotina sp. IP. RNAcentral describes it as "LSU rRNA". It matches the Rfam family "Eukaryotic large subunit ribosomal RNA", at positions 90 to 621 of the family's 3401-position model. Lineage: Eukaryota; Fungi; Basidiomycota. The record is from RNAcentral.
CGAGUGAACCGGGAAGAGCUCAAAUUUGUAAUCUGGCGUCCUUCGGGCGUCCGAGUUGUAAUCUACAGAGGCGUUUUCCGCGCCGGACCGCGUCCAAGUCCCUUGGAACAGGGUAUCAAAGAGGGUGACAAUCCCGUGCUUGACGCGACGACCGGUGCUAUGUGAUACGUCCUCGACGAGUCGAGUUGUUUGGGAAUGCAGCUCUAAAUGGGUGGUAAAUUCCAUCUAAGGCUAAAUAUUGGCGAGAGACCGAUAGCGAACAAGUACCGUGAGGGAAAGAUGAAAAGCACCCCGGAAGGGGAGUUAAACAGUACGUGAAAUUGUUGAAAGGGAAACGAUUGAAGUCAGUCGUGCGUCCGGCAUUCAGCCGCCUCUGGCGGUGCAUUUGCCGGUUCGCGGGUCAACGUCAGUUCUGACCGACGGAUAAGGGCUGGAGGAAGGUGGCACCCUCGGGUGUGUUAUAGCCUCCUGUCGCAUACGUCGGUCGGGACUGAGGAACGCAGCUCGCCUUUUUGGCCGGGGUUCGCCCACGUACGAGCUUAGG